Molecule: non-coding RNA, 981 nt
Organism: Drosophila melanogaster (fruit fly)
Lineage: Eukaryota; Metazoa; Arthropoda; Insecta; Diptera; Drosophilidae
Source: Ensembl
UUCUGUCAAUUUCAUAGAAGAUGGGGAAAAUUUUCUAAAAUGAGUUCUCAGUCAACGAAACACAUUUCUCUUAACCUUUUGUUUGUUUGCUUAGUCUACGCUUAAAUAUUAGUUUUCGGUUUGUUAUACUUUCUUUUGCUAUGUGAAACGUAAGCCCUGAGGUGACUUCCUCGAACCAUUGAUUAGAUCAACUUUGGAUUUCGACUAUUGCACUUUCUGGCCUGUGUGGUUGCUGCUGUCGCCAUGGCGUAUACUUAAUCUACGGUAAGAUUUCGUUUACGUGUAAUGCUGCACCUUUCUACACUUCGGACAUGCCAUAAACCUGAGCCACUGGUGGUUGUUGCUGCUGUUGCUGCGGCUGCUGCUCGUUGUUUGCUACCUGCUGCUGCUGUUGCUGUUGCUGCUGCACCCAGUGCGAUGGAUAGUACAGUUGGUGGAUAUAGUGCUGCUGCUGCUGAUGCUGGUUGUGUGAAUGCUGCUGCUGCAGUUGGUGAUGCUGCAGCUGCUGCAGCUGCUGCGUUUGGUAGGGCGGCUCCUUGACAUAUUCGCCGGACGUCUGCUGCUCAUGUUGCUGCUGCAGCAUCUGCUGCUGCUGCUGCUGUUGUUGCUGCUGCUGGUGCUGCUGUGUGGGAUACAUGGCCAUCCCUCAUGGCAGCUACACGAGCAGACUGGGCGCCAGCCACUCGUCCUCCGCCAGCUAAACGAUGUACAAUCGUUAGGCACCGCCUCAUCAUCGAAUUCCUCGAACACUCACCUGUGGACUGACCUGGAACUGCUGCAUCGGAUAUGCGACCACUCCGGCCGCCUGUGGCAAUGCGCUGCCCACGCUCUGUGUGAUCUGCGGCGCAGUGGCUGCCGCUGCACUGGCCAGCUGAGGUUGGGGCGGUACACUCUGCCAGGUGCCGGGCAGCUGGACGCCCAUUCUGAAGCGACAAAGAAUAUAGAGGGCAUAAAUAAAGCGUAUAACUAACACAAAUGAUU